UCCGUAGGUGAACCUGCGGAAGGAUCAUUAAUAGUGCCCUCUGAUGCAAAUCAUUGGGUUAGAUCUGCUCUCUUCGCAAGAAGAGGGUUUCCAUACACACCGUGAACUGUGGCUUCGGCCAUCACAAACUGUUAGUAAUGAAUGUAAUAUCAUAACAAAAACAAAACUUUUAACAACGGAUCUCUUGGCUCUCGCAUCGAUGAAGAACGCAGCGAAAUGCGAUAAGUAAUGUGAAUUGCAGAAUUCAGUGAAUCAUCGAAUCUUUGAACGCACCUUGCGCCCUUUGGUAUUCCGAAGGGCAUGCCUGUUUGAGUGUCAUGAAACCUCACCCCACUUGAGUUUUUGCCUGAGCGGUGGUGUAUUGGGUGUUGCCUUGCUAAAGGCUCGCCUUAAAGACAUAAGCACCUUGGAUGUAAUACGUUUCAUCCUUCUGGGUGGCUGAUAACCCCACAUACUCAUGAUCUGGCCUCAAAUCAGGUAGGGCUACCCGCUGAACUUAAGCAUAUCAAUAAGCGGAGGAAAAGAAACUAACUAGGAUUCCCUUAGUAACGGCGAGUGAACCGGGGAUGAGCUCAAAUUUAAAAUCUGGCGUCUUUCAGGCGUCCGAGUUGUAAUCUAUAGAGGCGUUUUCCGCGCCGGACCGCGUCCAAGUCUCUUGGAAUAGAGUAUCAAAGAGGGUGACAAUCCCGUACUUGACGCGACAACCGGUGCUCUGUGAUACGUUCUCAAUGAGUCGAGUUGUUUGGGAAUGCAGCUCUAAAUGGGUGGUAAAUUCCAUCUAAGGCUAAAUAUUGGCGAGAGACCGAUAGCGAACAAGUACCGUGAGGGAAAGAUGAAAAGCACUUUGGAAAGAGAGUUAAACAGCACGUGAAAUUGUUAAAAGGGAAACGCUUGAAGU
This 898-nucleotide small RNA is filed under the name uncultured fungus. RNAcentral's name for it is "eukaryotic LSU rRNA". The stretch from base 464 to 898 matches the Rfam family "Eukaryotic large subunit ribosomal RNA", at positions 1 to 429 of the family's 3401-position model. The record is from RNAcentral. Lineage: Eukaryota; Fungi.